This is an RNA transcript of Ziziphus jujuba (common jujube), 3571 nucleotides long. It is a transcript of the gene named F-box/kelch-repeat protein At3g24760, with no coding region annotated. The transcript is spliced from 3 exons. The record is from RefSeq and is a predicted model, not a curated record. NCBI's taxonomy places the organism in Eukaryota, Viridiplantae, Streptophyta, Magnoliopsida, Rosales, Rhamnaceae.
UUUCUUUUGGUUGGGAAAUAGUAAUUAAUACAUUGAAAUAUAUCACCAUUUGUCACUUGGACUAUUUCUUCCAAAAUUUGUAACAUUUUCACUUUCAGUUAAGUCUCGUAACCUCGUAAAACCCGCAAUGCCACCAAAUUCAUCAAAAGCGCAUAUGCUUCAUAUCUCCCUCCAACUACCACCUCUUUCCUUUGUUCAUUCAUUUCACACCCAGCUGCUCUCUCUCUCUCUCUCUCUCUCUCUCUCUCUCUCUCUUUCUAAUUUCUGUCUCUCUGCAAGCCCUUAUCUUCACCACCUACCAAAAAAAAUUACAGAAAAUGACAGAAAUCAGCAAUCUUAGCUCCGACCUAACCGGGCUCAUCCUCUCCUACCUCCCCAUCCCAACCCUCAUCCGAGCUUCCACCGUUUGUAGGCUCUGGUACUCUAUCAUUUCUUCGCCGGCUUUCUCAGCCACUGCUUCCCAGACCCACCACCAGAAGCUUCCAUGGUUUUUCCUCUACGGUAUCCACAAUACAUCUUCCAAGAACAACCAGUCCUUUGCCUUUGACCCACUUUCCAACCUCUGGUUCUGUCUACCCACCUUCCCUUCCCAUCACCAACCCGUCUCUUCCUGUUUCCUCGGCGCCGAUGGGUUUUUGCUCACUACCGCACCCAAAUUCAGCUACUGCCCUAUACUCAAACGCUCUUGGCACACCACCUCUCCGCUUCGAUUCUCGCGGAUUAACCCUCUUCUGGGUGUUUUCGGUGGUGGGUCCGGCGUGCCUAGGUUCAUCGUCGUCGGCGGUGUGAGAUUCAUCGGAAAUUUGGUCGAUAUCGAGGACCGUUUGGCUGUGGAGAUAUACAAUCCCGGUUUGGAUUCUUGGGAUCUCUGUCCCCCUUUGCCCGCGGAUUUCAGGUCUGGGAAUUCCUCGCAGUCACUCUCGUCGGCUUUGUUUGGACGCAGAUUCUAUGUUUUCGGGAUAUAUUCUUGCUUUAUUUCGUCCUUUGAUUUGGAUAAACAUGUUUGGAGCCGUGUCCAAACGCUUAGGCCGCCUGGGGUGGUCUUUUCGUUCUUGAUUUCGUGCUGGGAUCGGCUUGUCUUGGCCGGAAUUUGCUAUUCGCCGAUUGGGCCGUCGUUCAAUCUGUGGAAGAUCGACGAGGAGACCAUGGAGUUCAGCGAGAUUGCGAUUAUGCCACAGGACUUGCUGUACAGCUUGUUUGAUAGCGAUGAGGAUGAUAAAUUCGCGAGUUUGAAAUGCGUGGGACUGGGUAAUCUUAUAUACGUGUUCAACGAGGAGUACCAUAGGAAAUACCCAGCUUGUCUCUGUGAGAUUAGCAGUGAAUCUGGAAAAUGUAGCUGGACAAGAGUUCCUCAAUUGCCUUCCCCAGUUAAUAAGUUUCACAAAGUCAUUAGCUUUUGUUCUACGGUUUCGCUACAAAACAUUCUUCCGGGCGAGGAGGAAAAUGUUGAUCUGUGUUGUAUUUGUGAGAGAGCUUCUUCUUUCAAUGAAUCAGGACUUUGAAGCUCUUGCUUCAGGUCUGUUUGUCUUUGGUUAUUUCUUCAUCAAAUUGUCUACACUUACAGUUCUGCAAACUUAUUGCUAGAAAUUGUCAAUCUCUUACUUAAGAUUAGUCAUAUCUGUAAGCUAUAUUUAACACUUAAAGAAAUUUCGUUUCAAGUUUCUCCUCGGGGAUGUGGGGUUUAGAAGGAGGGUAUUAUGUUUAGAAGAUCAAAGUCCACCAAAUUUCAUUUUUUUGCCUCAGGAUGGCCUCCUAUUUUAUAACUCUGUUCCAUGGUUUAUGUAAAACAGAAUUUGCCACAACCUUUUCGUGCAAAUCUUUUUCUACUUGAUUGAUAAAUUAAAAUAUGUAUGUGUAUAUAUAUAUAUAUAUAUAUAACAUAUCAAGUGUUAUAUAAUAUUGCUGUCCUGUUAUCCCUAAUUGUGGUGGAAGGGUUGGAUUAUGGCGAUUGGUUGUUGGUAUUAAAUGUUGUUUGUGAUGCCAAUAGGUAUCAUGACUAGAACAUGUUUGUGAUGGGGCAUAACUACAUCUCCUUGCUAGAAGUUCCUCCACCCAAUAGUAGCCCUAUAUGAAAUAUAUAUGCCCUAACCACAAAGUCCAAUUCAAUGGGGCUAAGUGUCACUGCAAAGAAAUUAAACCAUUAAAGGGAUAGUCUGGAGGCGCUUUUCUAGUUGUGAUGAGUGAAUUUAUGUGGUUUUAACUAGAUGGUGGGCGAGUAUAGCUUUAAAGUGUAUUGGAAAAUGUUGUGUAGUUGGUAUUAAAUUAAACGACCUGCAUAUAUAUAUAUAUAUAUAUAUAUUUUUUUUUUUUUUUUGGAACUUUAAUUAAUUAUUCAAACUUUCAUUAUCCUCGACUUGGAGUUUUUGAAAUGGCUUGUAACAUGUAGCGUGAGAAAACGGAUUGUAUAGGAAGUAGCAUGAAGUUUAUUUAUGUGUUAACGUGCGGAGUAUUUUGGAUCAAAUAUAAUGACUAUAUAUUACUAAAAUAUAAUGAAUAUAUAAAUAUAUAUAUACAUAUUGGAAAAGAACAUAAUAAGAUAUAUGAUUUAUAAAAAAAAAAAAGAAAAGAAAAAAAAUAUAUAAAUUCAUAUUGCAACAUUAGAUAUAUAUUAUUUUCUCAUUAAUAAUGAAAGUUAAACGUGAAUAAAGGAAAUAUGCAACGACAAUGUCAAGUUUCUGAUCGACGAGCACACGCUAUUGGGAGUGAUCGGAUGAGAUCUUAGACAAUUUUGACAUUUUUUUAUUUAAUUUUAUUUCGAAAUGAAGUUUUUUUAUUUAAUUUUUUUCUUCAUAAAAAAACAGUAAAGGUGAAUAAAUGGUCAUAUAACUUAUAAGAAAAUAAUUGGAAGCAAAAAAGAGAAAAGAAAAUAAAUAGACAAUAAAUGGUAAGAGGAUGGAAUAAAAGAAUCCUAUAAAAUCUAGACCUUCCUAUUGCAAAUAAUACUAACAAUAAAUAUUUGAAUAAUAAUAAUAAUAAUAAUAAUAAUAAUAAAAUCUAGAGCUUCCUUUUCUUUUUUUUUCUUUUUCCCCUUUUUACCUAAUAAAUCUGGAGCUUCCUAAUUAACUUGAAGCACAAGAAAAUUGUAAAAAUGUCAACAAACAACAAAAAUGAACUAAAAUAAUAUAUAUAUAUAUAUAUAUUAUAAAAAAUAAAAACCUCCAACUCAAAAUAUAUGUUAGGAUAGCCAAUCUUCACCGUACGUGAAACGCACGCGCUAUGAAGGUGAGCUGGUCUUUGCAAAGAAAUAUAUAAAAUAUUAAUAAGAAGAACACGGAUAAAAUCCAAAUGGAUCGGGUAUGGAGCUACGCUGCGGACCCGUAAACUUGUUAAAGGGCUGGAGCUGGGCGAGGUUUUAGGCGAUUUGGCCCUUUUAACAAUACACUCUCGUUCUCUCUCUCUCUCUAUGCUGCGUUUUGUCUUCCGCUAGGGUUUUAGGGUUUUCCUGUCACUCUCUUUUGUUUCUUUCUUUGAGCUUUCUCUUUUGCUUAUCUUCCGAAUCUUCCACAAAAUCCCCAACAGCCAUGGAUAGAUACCAGAGGGUUGAGAAACCCAAGCCCGAAUCCCCCAUCAA